This 253-nucleotide ribosomal RNA is filed under the name uncultured bacterium. Its description in RNAcentral is "partial 16S ribosomal RNA". It matches the Rfam family "Bacterial small subunit ribosomal RNA", at positions 524 to 776 of the family's 1533-position model. The record is from RNAcentral.
GACGAACCGUGCGAACGUUGUUCGGAAUAACUGGGCUUAAAGGGUGCGUAGGCGGGUCCGCCAGUCUGUGGUGAAAACCUCCCGCUCAACGGGAGAACUGCCGUGGAUACUGCGGUCCUCGAGGAAGAUAGGGGCGUGCGGAACAGUUGGUUGAGCGGUGAAAUGCGUUGAUAUCAACUGGAACUCCGGAGGAGAAGGCGGCACGCUGGGUCUUUUCUGGCGCUGAGGCACGAAAGCUAGGGGAGCAAUCGGG